UACGUAGGGUGCGAGCGUUAAUCGGAAUUACUGGGCGUAAAGCGUGCGCAGGCGGUUAUGUAAGUCAGAUGUGAAAUCCCCGGGCUUAACCUGGGAACUGCAUUUGAGACUGCAUGGCUAGAGUGCGUCAGAGGGGGGUGGAAUUCCACGUGUAGCAGUGAAAUGCGUAGAGAUGUGGAGGAACACCGAUGGCGAAGGCAGCCCCCUGGGAUGACACUGACGCUCAUGCACGAAAGCGUGGGGAGCGAACAGG
RNAcentral lists this ribosomal RNA (253 nucleotides) under uncultured bacterium. RNAcentral's name for it is "partial 16S ribosomal RNA". It matches the Rfam family "Bacterial small subunit ribosomal RNA", at positions 524 to 776 of the family's 1533-position model. The record is from RNAcentral.